GAUGAACGCUGGCGGCGUGCCUAAUACAUGCAAGUCGAGCGAACGGACGAGAAGCUUGCUUCUCUGAUGUUAGCGGCGGACGGGUGAGUAACACGUGGAUAACCUACCUAUAAGACUGGGAUAACUUCGGGAAACCGGAGCUAAUACCGGAUAAUAUUUUGAACCGCAUGGUUCAAAAGUGAAAGACGGUCUUGCUGUCACUUAUAGAUGGAUCCGCGCUGCAUUAGCUAGUUGGUAAGGUAACGGCUUACCAAGGCAACGAUGCAUAGCCGACCUGAGAGGGUGAUCGGCCACACUGGAACUGAGACAUGGUCCAGACUCCUACGGGAGGCAGCAGUAGGGAAUCUUCCGCAAUGGGCGAAAGCCUGACGGAGCAACGCCGCGUGAGUGAUGAAGGUCUUCGGAUCGUAAAACUCUGUUAUUAGGGAAGAACAUAUGUGUAAGUAACUGUGCACAUCUUGACGGUACCUAAUCAGAAAGCCACGGCUAACUACGUGCCAGCAGCCGCGGUAAUACGUAGGUGGCAAGCGUUAUCCGGAAUUAUUGGGCGUAAAGCGCGCGUAGGCGGUUUUUUAAGUCUGAUGUGAAAGCCCACGGCUCAACCGUGGAGGGUCAUUGGAAACUGGAAAACUUGAGUGCAGAAGAGGAAAGUGGAAUUCCAUGUGUAGCGGUGAAAUGCGCAGAGAUAUGGAGGAACACCAGUGGCGAAGGCGACUUUCUGGUCUGUAACUGACGCUGAUGUGCGAAAGCGUGGGGAUCAAACAGGAUUAGAUACCCUGGUAGUCCACGCCGUAAACGAUGAGUGCUAAGUGUUAGGGGGUUUCCGCCCCUUAGUGCUGCAGCUAACGCAUUAAGCACUCCGCCUGGGGAGUACGACCGCAAGGUUGAAACUCAAAGGAAUUGACGGGGACCCGCACAAGCGGUGGAGCAUGUGGUUUAAUUCGAAGCAACGCGAAGAACCUUACCAAAUCUUGACAUCCUUUGACAACUCUAGAGAUAGAGCCUUCCCCUUCGGGGGACAAAGUGACAGGUGGUGCAUGGUUGUCGUCAGUUCGUGUCGUGAGAUGUUGGGUUAAGUCCCGCAACGAGCGCAACCCUUAAGCUUAGUUGCCAUCAUUAAGUUGGGCACUCUAAGUUGACUGCCGGUGACAAACCGGAGGAAGGUGGGGAUGACGUCAAAUCAUCAUGCCCCUUAUGAUUUGGGCUACACACGUGCUACAAUGGACAAUACAAAGGGCAGCGAAACCGCGAGGUCAAGCAAAUCCCAUAAAGUUGUUCUCAGUUCGGAUUGUAGUCUGCAACUCGACUACAUGAAGCUGGAAUCGCUAGUAAUCGUAGAUCAGCAUGCUACGGUGAAUACGUUCCCGGGUCU
Molecule: ribosomal RNA, 1372 nt
Filed under: uncultured bacterium
Lineage: Bacteria
Description: bacterial SSU rRNA
Rfam family: Bacterial small subunit ribosomal RNA
Source: RNAcentral